Oryctolagus cuniculus (rabbit) is the source of this 1364-nucleotide non-coding RNA. The record is from RefSeq and is a predicted model, not a curated record. Lineage: Eukaryota; Metazoa; Chordata; Mammalia; Lagomorpha; Leporidae.
GGACCCAGAGGAGAGCCCGCUGUAGAUUCCGUGGGGCCUCAUGGCGGCCCCUCUGCUGGGGUGGUGACGGCUCCCCGGUGCUCAGCUUGGAAUGCAGUGAGAUCCUGGCUGAGUUUGCCUCUCGCACCUGAUCUGAGUGUUCUGUGACUCCUGUGCUACACCCGUCCCUGGCAUUGCUUUUUUCUUUUUAAAAAUAUUUAUUUAUUUGAAAGUCAGAGUCACAUAGAGAGAAGGAGAGGCAGAGAGAGAGAGAGAGAGAGAGAGAGAGAGGUCUUCGAUCUGCUGAUUCACCCCCCAACUGGCUGCAGUGGCCGAAGCUGCGCUGAUCCGAAGCCAGGAGCCAGGAGCCUCCUCUGGGUCUCCCACACAGGUGCAGGGGCCCAAGGACUUGAGCCAUCCUCCACUGCCUUCCCAGGCCAUAGCAGAGAGUGGGAUCAGAAGUGGAGCAGCCAGGACCCGAACCGGUGCCCAUAGGGGAUGCCAGCACCUCAGGUGACUUCUCCACCUGCUACACCACAGCGCUGGCCCCCGUCCCUGGCAUUUCAGUCGUGGCCUCAGAUCCCUGCUCCUUGAAACGAAAUAUGCUUCUAUGUUAUAGAAGUGUUUAAAGGUGAUACUUGGUCAUUCCAGAAAGUAGAAAAUAAAAGUGAGCAAAAAUAAGAAAAUCGGUUUCAAUCAUAAAUCCCAGAGCCGGUGGGAACCCAGGAUUCCUGGACAGAUGUGAUCGAGGAGCCGUAGCAUCCCGGGAGAAAGUGGCGGGAGCACCCUGUGCACAGCUGGGGACCAGCGCUUCCUGGGCGCCCGCAGCCUCCUUGCCCUCGUCGCAGUGGCAGCCGCUGUCCGGGCCGUGUGCCUCCUGGUGACUGGGACAGGAGGUGCCCGUCCCUGAGCUCUGUCCAGCCUUGACCGGGACAGGAGGUGCCCGUCCCUGAGCUCCGUCCAGCCUUGACCGGGGCAGGAGGUGCCCGUCCCUGAGCUCCGUCCAGCCUUGACCGGGACAGGAGGUGCCCGUCCCUGAGCUCCGUCCAGCCUUGACCGGGGCAGGAGGUGCCCGUCCCUGAGCUCCGUCCAGCCUUGACCGGGGCAGGAGGUGCCCGUCCCUGAGCUCCGUCCAGCCUUGACCGGGGCAGGAGGUGCCCGUCCCUGAGCUCUGUCCGCGCCGUUGCUCCUCUGCUCUCCCAGUGGGCAGCUCUUCGUGCUCCAGGGGUUCGCACGGCUCUGCCUGGUUUACCAUCAGGGCUCCCGUUUUGCAUCCGGUCGUGUUGAUUUGCCUGCAUCCCGGGCCCUGCUUUAGCCUCUAAUGGUGUAAUUAUUUACGUGUGCGUUCACGUGUAUUAAAGAUACUCGCCUCCCAGUGCCUGGUG